UACGUAGGGUGCAAGCGUUAAUCGGAAUUACUGGGCGUAAAGCGUGCGCAGGCGGUUUGUAAGUCUGUCGUGAAAGCCCCGGGCUCAACCUGGGAAUGGCGAUGGAGACUGCAAGGCUAGAGUGUGUCAGAGGGGGGUAGAAUUCCACGUGUAGCAGUGAAAUGCGUAGAGAUGUGGAGGAACACCGAUGGCGAAGGCAGCCCCCCUGGGAUAACA
This 216-nucleotide ribosomal RNA is filed under the name uncultured bacterium. RNAcentral's name for it is "partial 16S ribosomal RNA". It matches the Rfam family "Bacterial small subunit ribosomal RNA", at positions 524 to 739 of the family's 1533-position model. The record is from RNAcentral.